GAGUUUGAUCAUGGCUCAGGAUUAACGCUGGCGGCAUGCCUAAUACAUGCAAGUCGAACGGAGUAGCAAUACUUAGUGGCGAACGGGUGAGUAACACGUAUCUAAUCUACCAUUUAGUGGGGAAUAACUGUUGGAAACGACAGCUAAUACCGCAUAAUAUUGCUGGAUAAUUUCCAGUAAUGAAAGGAGCUUUCAAGCUCCGCUGAUUGAUGAGGAUGCGGCGCAUUAGCUAGUUGGUAGGGUAAUGGCCUACCAAGGCAAUGAUGCGUAGCCGAUCUGAGAGGAUGAACGGCCACAUUGGGACUGAGACACGGCCCAAACUUCUACGGAAGGCAGCAGUAGGGAAUUUUUCACAAUGGGCGAAAGCCUGAUGGAGCAAUGCCGCGUGACUGAUGAAGGUC
RNAcentral lists this ribosomal RNA (401 nucleotides) under uncultured Spiroplasma sp. Its description in RNAcentral is "bacterial SSU rRNA". It matches the Rfam family "Bacterial small subunit ribosomal RNA", at positions 9 to 416 of the family's 1533-position model. Lineage: Bacteria; Bacillati; Mycoplasmatota; Mollicutes; Entomoplasmatales; Spiroplasmataceae. The record is from RNAcentral.